CAUGCCAAUACCUACAGUAGAGAUCCAUAUCAGGGCAGGUUAUCUCCAUGCCAGUAACUACAGUAGAGAUCCAUAUCAGGGCAGGUUAUCUCCAUGCCAAUACCUACAGUAGAGAUCCAUAUCAGGGCAGGUUAUCUCCAUGCCAGUAACUACAGUAGAGAUCCAUAUCAGGGCAGGUUAUCUCCAUGCCAGUAACUACAGUAGAGAUCCAUAUCAGGGCAGGUUAUCUCCAUGCCAGUAACUACAGUAGAGAUCCAUAUCAGGGCAGGUUAUCUCCAUGCCAAUACCUACAGUAGAGAUCCAUAUCAGGGCAGGUUAUCUCCAUGCCAGUAACUACAGUAGAGAUCCAUAUCAG
Molecule: long non-coding RNA, 355 nt
Organism: Oncorhynchus keta (chum salmon)
Lineage: Eukaryota; Metazoa; Chordata; Actinopteri; Salmoniformes; Salmonidae
Exons: 3
Source: RefSeq, a predicted model, not a curated record